GGAAGUAAAAGUCGUAACAAGGUCUCCGUUGGUGAACCAGCGGAGGGAUCAUUACAUGUGGUUUUUACCUCAACCUCACUGUGAACCUGUAUUCGUUGCGUUGGCAAGCUCUGGCUUGCCAAUGGUUGUACAAUCUAUAAAUGUAAUUUGUAUGUUGGUUAACUUAUGAAAACCUUUAUCAAUGGAUCUCUUGGCUCUAGCAUCGAUGAAGAACGCAGCGAAAUGCGAUAAAUAAUGUGAAUUGCAAGGCUUAGUGAGACAUCGAGUUUUUGAACGCACAUUGCGCCUGCUAGCAUGCUAGCAGGCAUAUCUGUUCGAGCGUCAUUUCUCUCCCUCAAGCUCGGCUUGUGUUGCAGGUCUACGAUUAUCGUAGCUUGUCAAAUCCAUUUGGCAGAAAGGUGUUGUUCGAAGAGAACGAUCAUAUGACUCUUCCAGCAGAAUCUUUCUACCACAAGACGUUUGAUUCUUGACCUCGAAUCAGAUAAGAGUACCCGCUGAACUUAAGCAUAUCAAUAAGCGGAGGAA
RNAcentral lists this ribosomal RNA (525 nucleotides) under uncultured Sordariomycetes. Its description in RNAcentral is "eukaryotic LSU rRNA". The stretch from base 171 to 324 matches the Rfam family "5.8S ribosomal RNA". Lineage: Eukaryota; Fungi; Ascomycota; Sordariomycetes. The record is from RNAcentral.